AGCGUAUACGGUGGAUGCCUUGGCAGUUAGAGGCGAUGAAGGACGUGUAAGUCUGCGAAAAGCUGUGGUGAGCCGACAAAAUGCAUUUGAGCCACAGAUGUCCGAAUGGGGAAACCCACCUAUUUAUAGGUAUCGCUACAUGAAUAUAUAGUGUAGCGAGGCGAACGAGGGGAACUGAAACAUCUAAGUACCCUUAGGAAAAGAAAUCAACCGAGAUUCCCCUAGUAGCGGCGAGCGAACGGGGAUUAGCCCUUAAGCAAUUAUGAACGUAGUGGAAGCCUCUGGGAAGUGGCGCGAUACAAGGUGAUAGCCCUGUACACGAAGUGUUUGUUUUUGUGAAAUCGAGUAGGUCGGGACACGUGUUAUCUUGACUGAAUAUGGGGGGACCAUCCUCCAAGGCUAAAUACUCCUAACUGACCGAUAGUGAACCAGUACCGUGAGGGAAAGGCGAAAAGAACCCCUGUGAGGGGAGUGAAAUAGAACCUGAAACCGUAUACGUACAAGCAGUGGGAGCACCUUCGUGGUGUGACUGCGUACCUUUUGUAUAAUGGGUCAACGACUUAGUGUUGUAUGCAAGCUUAAACCGUUAGGUGUAGGCGCAGCGAAAGCGAGUCUGAAUAGGGCGACCGAGUAUGCAGCAUUAGACCCGAAGGCAAGUGAUCUAGGUAUGGGCAGGGUGAAGGUGCAGUAACAUGCACUGGAGGCCCGAACCGUUGAGCGUUGAAAAGCUCUCGGAUGACCUGUGCCUAGGGGUGAAAGGCCAAUCAAACUCGGAGAUAGCUGGUUCUCUGCGAAAUCUAUUUAGGUAGAGCGU
Molecule: ribosomal RNA, 814 nt
Filed under: Paraphysomonas imperforata
Lineage: Eukaryota; Chrysophyceae; Chromulinales; Paraphysomonadaceae
Description: partial Bacterial large subunit ribosomal RNA
Rfam family: Bacterial large subunit ribosomal RNA
Source: RNAcentral